Molecule: transfer RNA, 71 nt
Filed under: Chitinophaga rhizophila
Lineage: Bacteria; Pseudomonadati; Bacteroidota; Chitinophagia; Chitinophagales; Chitinophagaceae
Description: Chitinophaga sp. B61 tRNA-Gly
Rfam family: tRNA
About the family: Transfer RNA (tRNA) molecules are approximately 80 nucleotides in length.
Source: RNAcentral
CGGAGGAUAGUUUAACUGGAAAAAUGAGGAUUGCCAAUCUGCAGAUGGAGGUUCGAGCCCUUCUCCUCCGC